Molecule: long non-coding RNA, 421 nt
Organism: Tigriopus californicus
Lineage: Eukaryota; Metazoa; Arthropoda; Copepoda; Harpacticoida; Harpacticidae
Exons: 3
Source: RefSeq, a predicted model, not a curated record
GCACAAUUAGAGAGCCCUUGAAUUGUUGAAGCCAUUUUCUUCGUAAUUAAGAGGCUGGUGAAUUCGCAAAGUUCAUCCAUUUCAACAAGAGUUCUUUCAGGCGGAUGAAUGAUGAUCAAAGUGCCUGGAGCAACAUCACAUGGGGGAUUCCGACCCAAGAGCCCCUUGGAUUGAAAGUGAAAUGUGACGCAAAGCCAGUCCGUAGGAUAAGUGGAGUGGUGUUUGCCGUUGGCCAAGAAGGCACAAUCACCGCUGCUUCUUUGAUUCGGGACUCGUUUUUUUUUACCACGCCAAGAGACGAUGGAUGAUCAAGUGUUGGACGUGCUACCUCCAAAGCCAAGGAUGAUGUUGACACACUGACUGACUGAGAGAUGCUGAGAGAGGAAGCUACUCCUGUAGACGAGGAUGAUGGUGACAAGCC